Molecule: long non-coding RNA, 1993 nt
Filed under: Gallus gallus (chicken)
Lineage: Eukaryota; Metazoa; Chordata; Aves; Galliformes; Phasianidae
Description: lncRNA (ENSGALG00010014981.1)
Source: RNAcentral
GUGAGGUGCUGGAACAGGUUGUCCAGACAAGUUGUAGAUGCCUCAUCCCUGGAGGUGUUCAAUUUGAUGAAGGAUGAGGCCCUGAGCAAACAGAUGCAGUAACUGUUACAGCAGAGGGCAACCCUGCCUGUGGCAGGGGAGUUGGAAUAUGAUGAUCUUUGAGGUCCAUUGCAAACCAAGCCAUUUUAUGAUACAACAAGGAAAAUGCAUUACAGUUAUAUAAACAAAAUCACAGGUGUAAUGGAAAGAGCUAGGUGGUGUACUCUAUUGCAAGGAGAGCCAGACAGUGCCAUGUAUUCCAAAGAGAUCCAGUUGGUGCGGUAUACUCCAAAGAGAGCCAGGUGUCUGUGUUGGGGACCUAAAGGCCCCUGACUGAAGAAUGAUCCUAGGAUGGAACAAAGUAUUCUGACAGUUUUAAGUGAAGUGGUAUUUGUGGCUCUAGCCACAAAUAUGACUGUGCGUAUGUUGAAUAAAACCCAUAACCCUGUGCUGCUCUAAGUGCAUAAUUUGCUUGCCUCUGCUCCUGAGACAUCCUGUCUCUCAGAUCCAGUUGUACCUUGAAACAGCGGCAUGGUAUAUUCCAAAGAGAGCCAGGCGGUGUGGUAUAUUCCAAAGAGAGCCAGGCAGCUUGGUGUUUUCCAAAAGGAGGCAGGCAGCAUGGUAUAUUUAUUUCAUAAAAGAGGCAGGUGGUGCAAUAUAUUCCAUAAAUGAGGCAGGUGGCAUAGUAUGUUCCAUAGAAGAGGCAGGUAGCACAGUACAUUCCAUAAAAGAGGCAGGUGGUGUGGUAUAUUCCAUAAAAGAGGCAGGUGGUGUGGUAUAUUCCAGGAGGAGGAAGACGACACAGUAUUUUCCAAAAAAAGACACAGGCAGUGUAGUAUAUUCCAAAUAAGAGGCAGGUGUCUUAGUAUAUUCCAAAGAAGAUGCAGGUGGCGUAGCAUAUUCCAAAGAAGCUGCAGACAGCAUAGUAUAUUCCAGAGAAGAUGCAGGCAGUGUCACAGAUUCCAAGAAGAGGCAAGCAGAGCAGUAUAUUCCAAAAAAAAAAGAGGCAGGCAGUGCAAUAGAUUGCAAAAAAGAGGCAGGCAGCCUAGUAGGUUCCAAGAGCCAGGUAGCAUAGUAGUUUCUAAGAAGAGCCAGGUGUUGUAGUAGAUUCCAAGAAGAGGCAGACAGCAUAGUAGGUUACAAGGAGAGGCAGGCAGCAUAGUAGAUUCUCAGAAGAGCCAGGCAGCAGCCCUGUCACGAUAGCAAAUGUUGCUUGAGCAUCUACCAUGUCACUGCUGUGUCCCUAUAUUCUUAUAAUAGGCAGUAUUGUAAUAGAGCAGUGCUCAGGGAAGCUGCCCAUCAGAGAACCAAACCCUAUGGGUUUUCAAUAAGCACAAAGAAAUAAAAUGAGAAGAGGAGGCCAUGAAGGUUCUUUUAAGGCCCAAAUGCUCAAUGUAUUACUUAUCCACUGGUGAAAACGAUACUCUGAUACAGGUCUUAUAGGGGAGCAAGCUGGUGGGAAGUGUAUUGGUUACACCUACAUAAAGGAGAAAGAAAGAGACCUUGAGUUCAUUUGAACUUACAAUCAAACAAAACUUUGGACAGAUAUUUGGGACUUUCUUCAAAAUCAUCAACCCAGAGAAGGGAUGAUGGUAAGAUUUGUACCAGCUCUUCAACUGUGCCCUACACUUCUGCAAUACAUGAUGGUGCCUUCCAACUUAACGUUUUACUGGAGGGGUUAUGUUGUAUAUUAAGAAACUACCUGACAUUACAAAGAUGUGUACCGACUGAGCCCAAGAAGAAACUUGUUUUGCAUUGAAACCACUUUCCUACAUAUGAGGGCACUCAGAGUAGCAGAGGCUGUGCCCAAGUGGCUUGAGGCUGCUCAGCACUACAUUGCCCUUUGCUCUCUCUCAUCAGGUAGGAUGAGGGAGAGAACUGGAAAUGAAACAGAAACCGUGGGCUGAGAUAUUAACUAUUUACUACAAACGAAGAGGAAAAUGGUGUCAAAAAU